Molecule: ribosomal RNA, 465 nt
Filed under: Vreelandella stevensii
Lineage: Bacteria; Pseudomonadati; Pseudomonadota; Gammaproteobacteria; Oceanospirillales; Halomonadaceae
Description: partial 16S ribosomal RNA
Rfam family: Bacterial small subunit ribosomal RNA
Source: RNAcentral
CCUACGGGCGGCUGCAGUGGGGAAUAUUGGACAAUGGGCGAAAGCCUGAUCCAGCCAUGCCGCGUGUGUGAAGAAGGCCUUCGGGUUGUAAAGCACUUUCAGUGGGGAAGAAAGCCUUGGGGCUAAUACCCUCGAGGAAGGACAUCACCCACAGAAGAAGCACCGGCUAACUCCGUGCCAGCAGCCGCGGUAAUACGGAGGGUGCGAGCGUUAAUCGGAAUUACUGGGCGUAAAGCGCGCGUAGGCGGUCUGAUAAGCCGGUUGUGAAAGCCCCGGGCUCAACCUGGGAACGGCAUCCGGAACUGUCAGGCUAGAGUGCAGGAGAGGAAGGGAGAAUUCCCGGUGUAGCGGUGAAAUGCGUAGAGAUCGGGAGGAAUACCAGUGGCGAAGGCGGCCUUCUGGACUGACACUGACGCUGAGGUGCGAAAGCGUGGGUAGCAAACAGGAUUAGAUACCCUGGUAGUC